UCUCAAAGAUUAAGCCAUGCAUGUCUAAGUACAUGCCGUAUUAAGGCGAAACCGCGAAUGGCUCAUUAAAUCAGUUACGGUUCCUUAGAUGUUGACUAUCUACAUGGAUAACUGUGGUAAUUCUAGAGCUAAUACAUGCACAAAAGCUUCGACCUUACCGGAAGGAGCGCAUUUAUUAGAACAAGACCAAUGGGGUGGUUUACCUUCGGGUGGCUGCCCUUUUAUAUUGGUGACUCUGAAUAACUUAAGCUAAUCGCAUGGCCAACCGUGCCGGCGAUGAAUCUUUCAAGUGUCUGCCUUAUCAACUGUCGAUGGUAGGUUAUGCGCCUACCAUGGUUGUAACGGGUAACGGGGAAUCAGGGUUCGAUUCCGGAGAGGGAGCCUGAGAAACGGCUACCACAUCCAAGGAAGGCAGCAGGCACGCAAAUUACCCACUCCCAGAACGGGGAGGUAGUGACGAAAAAUAACAAUGCAGAACUCUAAUGAGGCUCUGCAAUUGGAAUGAGAACAAUCUAAAUCCUUUAACGAGGAUCUAUUGGAGGGCAAGUCUGGUGCCAGCAGCCGCGGUAAUUCCAGCUCCAAUAGCGUAUAUUAAAGUUGUUGCGGUUAAAAAGCUCGUAGUUGGAUCUCAGUUCAGUUGCCAGGCGGUCCACUUGCCAGUGGUUACUUCUUGGCUGAACACUUUACCGAGCUGUCCCUUGGUGCUCUUUGCCGAGUGUCUUGGGCGAUCGGUACGUUUACUUUGAAAAAAUUAGAGUGCUCAAAGCAGGCCAUAUGCGCCCGAAUAAUGUUGCAUGGAAUAAUGGAAUAGGACCUCGGUUCUAUUUUGUUGGUCUUCGGAAUCCCGAGGUAAUGAUUAAGAGGGACAGACGGGGGCAUUCGUAUUGCGGCGCUAGAGGUGAAAUUCUUGGACCGUCGCAAGACGAACUAAAGCGAAAGCAUUUGCCAAGAAUGUUUUCAUUAAUCAAGAACGAAAGUUAGAGGUUCGAAGGCGAUCAGAUACCGCCCUAGUUCUAACCAUAAACGAUGCCAACCAGCGAUCCGCCUGAGUUCCCAUAAUGACUCGGCGGGCAGCUUCCGGGAAACCAAAGUUUUUCGGUUCCGGGGGAAGUAUGGUUGCAAAGCUGAAACUUAAAGGAAUUGACGGAAGGGCACCACCAGGAGUGGAGCCUGCGGCUUAAUUUGACUCAACACGGGAAAACUUACCCGGCCCGGACACUGGAAGGAUUGACAGAUUGAGAGCUCUUUCUUGAUUCAGUGGGUGGUGGUGCAUGGCCGUUCUUAGUUGGUGGAGCGAUUUGUCUGGUUAAUUCCGAUAACGAACGAGACUCUAGCCUACUAAAUAGACCAGUGGCUUCCUAAAAACGCCACUGGGAGCUUCUUAGAGGGACAGGCGGUGAUUCAACCGCACGAAACAGAGCAAUAACAGGUCUGUGAUGCCCUUAGAUGUCCGGGGCCGCACGCGCGCUACACUGAAGUGAUCAGCGUGCUUUAAUUUCCCUGCUCUGCCAAGAGUGGGAAACCCAAUGAACCUACUUCGUGAUUGGGAUAAAGGAUUGUAAUUAUUCCUUUUGAACGAGGAAUUCCCAGUAAGCGCGAGUCAUAAGCUCGCGUUGAUUACGUCCCUGCCCUUUGUACACACCGCCCGUCGCUACUACCGAUUGAAUGAUUUAGUGAGGUCUUCGGACUGGCCGGCGCAGCUGCCUUCGUGGUGGCCGCGCUGUGUUUGGAAAGAUGCCCAAACUUGAUCAUUUAGAGGAAGUAAAAGUCGUAA
RNAcentral lists this ribosomal RNA (1774 nucleotides) under Grandjeanicus sp. AD1438. Its description in RNAcentral is "SSU rRNA". It matches the Rfam family "Eukaryotic small subunit ribosomal RNA". The record is from RNAcentral. Lineage: Eukaryota; Metazoa; Arthropoda; Arachnida; Sarcoptiformes; Grandjeanicidae.